AUAUUAGAAGUUGAUGUGGUUUGGUUCAUUGAAAUAGUGUUAGCUCCCUUGAGUUAACUUCCAGCAGGGGGCGCGAUCAAACAAAGCGUCUGUAUCGAUCGAGAAGCCAAGACAGAAUUAUGUCAAGCAAAGUACCAACAAAGGUGUUUGUUGGUAACCUCACAGAAUCAUGCUCCAAAAUCCAUUUACAGAGAAUCUUUGAAGCAUAUGGAAGUAUUGUGGAGUGCGACAUCAUCAGAAAUUAUGCAUUUAUUCACUUUGCUGAUGCAGAUGAAGCCAAAACUGCUGUUGAAAACCUAGAUGGAUCAAACUUUGAAGGAUCAAACAUUAAGGUUGAACUGUCACAUAGCAAGGUUCGACAGAAGCCAGGCAUGGGCAGGAAAGGAGACUGCUACAGAUGUGGGAAGGAAGGACACUGGUCAAAAGAUUGCCCUAAAGGACCGUCCCGGCCUCCUCGCAAACCUGGUCGUGAUGAUCCAUACAAGUCUCCCUACAGAGAUCCCAGAGAUCUAAGAGAUCCUUACUACAGAGAUCCAUAUGAUGAUCCCUACUACAGAGACCGUUAUCUGCCUCCUCCUCCCCGAUUCGACAGAUACAGGCCGUAUGCUGACCCCUAUGAUCGACGCCCCCUUCCCCCACCCCCAAGAGAUCCAUACUACAGAGAGAGGGACCCCUAUGCCAGACCCCCACCAGAAUACUAUGGCAGGAGGUCACCACCCCCAAGAGACCCCUACUACGACUACUAUGCAAGAGAGAGACCUUCUGGGGACUGAAAUAGCAUGUGUGGCAAACUCCCAUGCCUUUUCAUGCAGAGUUGACUGUCUCCUUACAUGAUGGAACCGAUUCUUGCUGUGUUACCACAAGAGGACAGGUGUCUGAAGAGGGAUAUGCGUGACUAUAGUACAGUGCAUUCAUGACACAACCAAGCCUCAGCAGCAGAAGGAAGGAGUCACAGGAGUCAUGAAGUGAUAACAUGGUAUCCCAAGGACACUAUCAGAAGAAGUCCUGUUGCUGCAUCCAAGUUUUCAAGUCUGAUCUUGUAAACUGUCUUCAUUGGGGGAAUAUCAGCUCCCCAUUGCAGUUAUGGAUCAGCAAGGUGUAAGAAUGAACUCUGAUCAGUGAACUUUCAUGACAUACGUCCAACACUAUCAAGACUCUGUUAUCUGCUUCCCAGCAAAAUUACAGAUCCUGAUAACAGAAAUCAUCACCUUGCACCACUUCCCUGAAAAAUUUAGGUUUUGAAGGUACUUAACAUGAUGAAAGGACAAGUUCCAACUAACAUUGUUUGAAGGUUAUUGAAUCUCUGGACUGUAAGUGUGAAUACAGAGGACUACAAAUUGUGCUGAAAGUCAUUUCUUGUAAAAGUCAUGAAAUAAAAUAUGACAAAAGAAAAA
Molecule: RNA transcript, 1394 nt
Organism: Haliotis rubra (blacklip abalone)
Lineage: Eukaryota; Metazoa; Mollusca; Gastropoda; Lepetellida; Haliotidae
Gene name: RNA-binding protein lark-like
Exons: 9
Source: RefSeq, a predicted model, not a curated record